UGGGGAAUAUUGCACAAUGGGCGCAAGCCUGAUGCAGCCAUGCCGCGUGUGUGAAGAAGGCCUUCGGGUUGUAAAGCACUUUCAGCGAGGAGGAAGGGUUCAGUGUUAAUAGCACUGUUCAUUGACGUUACUCGCAGAAGAAGCACCGGCUAACUCCGUGCCAGCAGCCGCGGUAAUACGGAGGGUGCAAGCGUUAAUCGGAAUUACUGGGCGUAAAGCGCACGCAGGCGGUUUGUUAAGUCAGAUGUGAAAUCCCCGCGCUUAACGUGGGAACUGCAUUUGAAACUGGCAAGCUAGAGUCUUGUAGAGGGGGGUAGAAUUCCAGGUGUAGCGGUGAAAUGCGUAGAGAUCUGGAGGAAUACCGGUGCGAAGGCGGC
Molecule: ribosomal RNA, 377 nt
Filed under: uncultured bacterium
Lineage: Bacteria
Description: partial 16S ribosomal RNA
Rfam family: Bacterial small subunit ribosomal RNA
Source: RNAcentral